This 301-nucleotide ribosomal RNA is filed under the name uncultured bacterium. RNAcentral's name for it is "partial 16S ribosomal RNA". It matches the Rfam family "Bacterial small subunit ribosomal RNA", at positions 509 to 809 of the family's 1533-position model. The record is from RNAcentral.
CAGCCGCCGCGGUAAAACGAAGGGUGCAAGCGUUACUCGGAAUUACUGGGCGUAAAGCGUGCGUAGGUGGUGGUUUAAGUCCGUUGUGAAAGCCCUGGGCUCAACCUGGGAAUUGCAGUGGAUACUGGGUCACUAGAGUGUGGUAGAGGAUAGUGGAAUUUCCGGUGUAGCAGUGAAAUGCGUAGAGAUCGGAAGGAACAUCUGUGGCGAAGGCGACUAUCUGGGCCAACACUGACACUGAGGCACGAAAGCGUGGGGAGCAAACAGGAUUAGAUACCCCAGUAGUCCCUGUCUCUUAUAA